AUAAGAGUUUGUGCUGUAUGAAAUUGACAGGAAUUAAGCCGGGAUCAAUUUGCCAAGUUUUGUUACCUGCCACCUGGAUUUGUUAUCCUGGAUUAUCCAGGUGGGCCCUAUGAAAUUGCAACAGCCCUUAUAAGAAGGAGGCAGGAGGGUUAGAGAGGAUGUGAUGACCAAAGCAGAGGUGAGAGAGGCAAGAUACGUGAUACGUUGCUGGCUUUUGAAGAUAGAGGAAGAAUCUGGGAUUCGAGGAAUGGAGGCAGCCUCUAGAAGCUAGGAAGGUACAGUAUUUCCAUCAAUUCUCACCAGAGGGAGCAACUGUCUUUAAGAAAGUGAUGUGCCUAGUCUAUGGCGGAAGAACUGUGGAAUGGUCUUUCAGUGAUCUCUCUCUCUGUAGCCUAGGCUACAGUACAGUGGCA
This is a long non-coding RNA of Lemur catta (Ring-tailed lemur), 413 nucleotides long. RefSeq lists it as uncharacterized. NCBI's taxonomy places the organism in Eukaryota, Metazoa, Chordata, Mammalia, Primates, Lemuridae. The transcript is spliced from 3 exons. The record is from RefSeq and is a predicted model, not a curated record.